UGAGCCGGUUUUGUCUGGAAGGGAUACAGCUUUUGUCAAAACAUUUUCGUAGCAGUUUUAGGAGAACUUACGCAGCAGGUUAGGAUAAUUAGGUUAAGGUUACGAAAAUGUUUAGGGUUAGCUAAAAUGCAACAAAUAAACAAAAAAUAUAUACUUUUGACGUCCAUUUGACAAAAGCAAUAUCCCUUCUAGACAUUACCCAUUGAGCCUGCGGAUGUUGAAGGAGGAGUCGAUUCAGUUCUCGUUUAUUUUCCCACACCGCUUUCGAGCACUUGACGCUUCUCUGCUACUCUUCUUCUCAAGUUACAAUCCCAACACGAUUCCACAGCUCAAUGCAACUUCUGUUCUUAACGCGGAAUCAAUCAACCCUCCACCCAGCUUGUUUUUAAGACAAUUCGCUAGUUAAUGUUUUUUCUCAAACCCUUCUGAGUAGGCUACUUUUCGACAGGUGUUUUGGGCAGAGUGCCCGGAAGAAAAAUGUCAAAUGGGAAAGAUGCACCUGCGGCAGCGAACUCCUCACCGAUGACCCUGCAGGUGUGCCUUGAGGAGUGUAUGGAGGCCCUGGACCUCUUCCUCAACAACCACUUCAGUGAGAGCCUGGACAAACUGCGGCCACGGGCGAAGGAGAGCAUGUACCAUGCUCUGAUCUACGCCACUGUGCUGGAGAUGCAGGCUAUGAUGACCUUCCAGCAGGAUGACAUUGUCAAUGCAGGCAACACCAUGAAGAGUGCCCAGGAGGUCUGCCAGAGGUUUCGACGAAAGACCCCUAGUAAUAUCAGUAAAUCACCUGGAGAGCAUCUAACUGAAGAGCAGCUCCAAGCUCUCCAUGCUGAUGCGUGUUAUGCUGAAUGCUUGCUCCAAAGGGCUGCUCUCACCUUCCUACAGGAUGAGAACAUGGUGAGUUUUAUCAAAGGAGGAAUCAAAGUACGCAACAGUUACCUGAUUUACAAGGAGCUGCACACCUUCAUACAGUCAAACAGCUCUCUCCAAGGACCCAACCACAUUCACUUAGAGGGAGGGGUGUCUUUUGGGAUCGGAGCAUUCAACUUGACUCUUUCCAUGUUUCCACCUCGGUUACUCAAAGUUUUAGAGUUUGCUGGCUUCUCUGGAGACAAGGAGUAUGGUCUGUCCCAGCUGAAUGAUGGGGCCACUACAAACAAUCUGCGCUCCAUGCUGUGUGCCUUGCUGUUGCUCUGUUACUACACCUUCCUCACCUUCAUACUCGGGACCGGUGAGGGGGACGUGGCUGAUGCUGAGAAGCUGCUGAAGCCUUUCCGGCUCCGCUACCCACAGGGGGCCAUAUUUCUCUUCUUUGCAGGCAGGGCUGAGGCAAUCAAGGGGAACAUUGAUGAGGCGGUGGUGCUGUUUGAGGAUGGCUGCAAAGCUCAGCAGCAGUGGAAGCAGUUCCACCACAUGUGCUACUGGGAGCUGAUGUGGUGCUUCACCUACAAGUGCGUGUGGAGGAUGGCCUACUUCUACGCUGACCUACUGAGCAAUGAGAGCCGCUGGUCCAAGGCCAUGUAUGUGUACAUGAAGGCUGCUUACCUGAGCAUGCUUGCUCCGGGGGAGGCUAGGCCUUUUGGGGAAGAUGAGGUGGAGCUCUUCAGACAGGUGUCCACCUUCAAGCAAAAGAUAGCAGGGAAGUCUCCACCCACAGAGAAGUUUGCCAUUCGCAAGGCUAGACGUUACAAAGCUAGCUGCCCAGUGAGGCUCCCAGUACCUGUGCUGGAGAUGAUGUACAUGUGGAACGGCUUUUCCAUGAUCAGCAAGCGGCCAGAGCUGACCGAGGGCAUGCUGCAGACACUGGUGGAGGCAGAGCGCAUCCUACUGGAAUCUCCCGUGAAUGAGUAUUCAAUGGAUGACCGCUGUGUGAUCCACCUACUGAAGGGGCUGUGUCUGAAGAACCAGGGACACAUUCGGGCUGCAGAGGAAUGCUUCAACAAGGUGUACAACAGUGAGAAGAAGAUCAAGUUUGACCAUUACCUGGUGCCCAACGCUCUGCUGGAGCUCAGUGUGGUCUACAUAGACACGGGCCGCAAGGAGGAGGCCAUCAAACUACUGGUGAAAGCCAAUCGUGGCUGAACUACGACAUGGAUAAUAUACAGUUGGCUGGUUUUUCGUGCACUGGCAAGACGGAACAGCUGCCUCCGAACUAACUACAAGGAGUACUCCAUGGAGUCACGCACCCAGUUCAGGAUCCAUGCUGCUCUCUCCAAACUCAAGGCUGACACUAGUGACCAAGAUGAAAUCACACCACUGUAGUAUAACAGGUGUCAUUGUGCUGAGCAAGCACUGGACUUGCUUCCCCUGCCAUCUGUAUAUGCUCCAGGAAGACUUGCUCUCUUUUUCAUCCUCAGCCACUUUGAUCACUGCCUCCCAAAUGUUACUUGCUUUGUGGUGAAAGUCUCCGUCCAUCAUGGAUGGUGGUCUCUCCCUGAUUAAAACACUUGAGUUUUGAAUGGGAGUUGGUAGAAGUUGCCUCUACCUGCUGGUUCUAGAUCAGAGGCAUUUUAUCCACCUACUGGGUGAUGAACACCUGUGGUUAGGUUCAGAUUCUAUCUUCAGUGUUUCAAUGUGUGGUACUUACAUCACUGUACUGGUUACCCAUAACAGUAGUUGGGAGGCAGUUGCUCAAAACAAUUUGAAUACAGUAUAUCCACUUUUUUUGUGGGGGAAAACAUGUUGAAAUGAACUUAACAAUGUAAGUAAUGUUUGGAUAUGUGAGGUAUAGUUUUGCUUUUAACUUCUCCAAAAGUGGUUGAGUAUUACUGUAAGCAUUUUGACAAAAGCAUCCCUUUGGUGAUAACUGAAUAAGACAGACAAAUGACAUUGCUUUGAUCCCUGAGUUAUUUUAACAAAUGUAUUAACAUUUAUGUAGAAGGACCUUUAAUAAUCAAUAGGUCAUGCUACAUUUGUUUUAUGUAGUUGUCCCUGCUGCAAUGUACAGAGGAAAGUAGAGUCAGUUGAAUUAAGUUUAACCUCUGAUAGUGUAAACAUUAUUUUAAGUAAUGAAUGUCAAUCAAGACCUUGUACAAAGAAAGGUGUGGUUAAACCAUUUGAAAAACAUGAUUAAAUAUGUCCAUUUGCUAGAA
Oncorhynchus mykiss (rainbow trout) is the source of this 3092-nucleotide non-coding RNA. The record is from RefSeq and is a predicted model, not a curated record. Lineage: Eukaryota; Metazoa; Chordata; Actinopteri; Salmoniformes; Salmonidae.